Molecule: ribosomal RNA, 253 nt
Filed under: uncultured bacterium
Lineage: Bacteria
Description: partial 16S ribosomal RNA
Rfam family: Bacterial small subunit ribosomal RNA
Source: RNAcentral
UACGUAGGGUGCGAGCGUUAAUCGGAAUUACUGGGCGUAAAGCGUGCGCAGGCGGUUUUGUAAGACAGAUGUGAAAGCCCCGGGCUUAACCUGGGAAUGGCAUUUGGGACUGCAAGGCUGGAGUUUGGCAGAGGAGACUGGAAUUCCUGGUGUAGCAGUGAAAUGCGUAGAUAUCAGGAGGAAUACCGAUGGCGAAGGCAGGUCUCUGGGCUAUAACUGACGCUCAUGCACGAAAGCGUGGGGAGCAAACAGG